This 253-nucleotide ribosomal RNA is filed under the name uncultured bacterium. Its description in RNAcentral is "partial 16S ribosomal RNA". It matches the Rfam family "Bacterial small subunit ribosomal RNA", at positions 524 to 776 of the family's 1533-position model. The record is from RNAcentral.
UACAGAGGGGGCAAGCGUUGUUCGGAAUUACUGGGCGUAAAGGGCGCGUAGGCGGCCCGCUAAGUCGAACGUGAAAUCCCCGAGCUCAACUCGGGAACUGCGUCCGAUACUGGUGGGCUUGAAUCCGGGAGAGGGAUGCGGAAUUCCAGGUGUAGCGGUGAAAUGCGUAGAUAUCUGGAGGAACACCGGUGGCGAAGGCGGCAUCCUGGACCGGUAUUGACGCUGAGGCGCGAAAGCCAGGGGAGCAAACGGG